AUCGCAGUUUUAAAAUCUAUGCCUUUGGAAUAUAAAAAGCAUGGAUUUUAAAACUGGGAUGC
Chlorocebus sabaeus (green monkey) is the source of this 62-nucleotide microRNA precursor. The record is from Ensembl. Lineage: Eukaryota; Metazoa; Chordata; Mammalia; Primates; Cercopithecidae.